RNAcentral lists this ribosomal RNA (421 nucleotides) under uncultured eukaryote. RNAcentral's name for it is "SSU rRNA". It matches the Rfam family "Eukaryotic small subunit ribosomal RNA", at positions 592 to 1018 of the family's 1831-position model. The record is from RNAcentral.
CAAUAGCGUAUAUUAAAGUUGUUGCAGUUAAAAAGCUCGUAGUUGGAUUUCCGGCGUGAGGGAUCAGUCUGACUUCUAGUCAGUACUUGGUCCUCUCAUGCCGUCCUUGAAUGGUGCAUCCUGGCAUUAAGUUGUCGGGCAAAGGAUCCUCAUCGUUUACUGUGAAAAAAUUAGAGUGUUCAAAGCAGGCUUAUGCCGUUGAAUAUAUUAGCAUGGAAUAAUAAGAUAGGACUUUGGUACUAUUUUGUUGGUUUGCGCACCAAAGUAAUGAUUAAUAGGGACAGUUGGGGGUAUUCGUAUUCCGUUGUCAGAGGUGAAAUUCUUGGAUUUACGGAAGACGAACUACUGCGAAAGCAUUUACCAAGGAUGUUUUCAUUAAUCAAGAACGAAAGUUAGGGGAUCGAAGACGAUCAGAUACCAU